RNAcentral lists this ribosomal RNA (200 nucleotides) under uncultured bacterium. Its description in RNAcentral is "partial 16S ribosomal RNA". It matches the Rfam family "Bacterial small subunit ribosomal RNA", at positions 333 to 525 of the family's 1533-position model. The record is from RNAcentral.
AGAUUCCUACGGGAGGCAGCAGUGGGGAAUUUUGGACAAUGGGCGCAAGCCUGAUCCAGCCAUGCCGCGUGAGUGAAGAAGGCCUUCGGGUUGUAAAGCUCUUUCAGCUGGAGCGAAACGGUACGCUCUAACAUAGCGUGCUACUGACGGUACCAGCAGAAGAAGCACCGGCUAACUACGUGCCAGCAGCCGCGGUAAUA